GGCUGACCCCCCUCCCCAAGUUAUUUCUUGCCAUCAAGCAGGUCUGAAGCAAUCGCACCCAUCAACGUUUUCAACGGCAGAAGGAAUCACCAGGGUGGUGGUGGUUUCCUGGCCAGGAGCCGCUUGUCGGGAGGUUCCAGGCUUUCCCUGAUGCACAGUGAGCUGCUGCCCCGAGUGAUAACAGUAGCCUGCGUUUCUCCUCCCCUUGCUUGCCUUUUUGCGGGAAAGGGCUGAAAGCUGUUAACAGGGAUGAGAAGCUGAGGACAGAGAAGAAGCAACAUUGGAUGAUGGCGAUUGUCUUUACCAAACAGACCAAAUAGUGACUGCAGUUUGGGGAGAAAAGCACAAAGGAUGAUGUGCAAGGGGGUCCACAAGUCGCCCCCCAAAGUCUGUGUCCUUUGAAUGUUUCCAGAAGAUUUGGCGCUGCACCAAAAGCAGACAGCAAAUAUGUAUGAAGUGCCUACUGGAGAGUAUUCUGAACACCAAAACUGAAAAGAAGAAGAAAAAAAAAAAUACACGUCCCUGGGUUCGUGGAACUUUCACUCUGUUGGGUGCACCGGGAGAUUAGACAGCAGCAGCCCCGGCCACUCCACUCACUGGCUAUUUAUCCGAGAGAAGUGAAACGUGACGUCCACCCAGAGGCUAAUACACAGAUGUUCGCAGAGGCCUUCCCCACAGUAACCCCCAACUAGAAACACCAGGAGGAGCCAAGGGGAGCACCGUACUGCAAUACAAAGGGAAAAAUUACGGACACGUCCCCACCGUGGAUGCAUCUCAGAAUCAUCACAACACGUCAAAGGAGAGCGCAAAACUGAUCUCUAGUGACGGAAGCGGUGUGCGAAUUGGGCCCUAGACCCGGGCCCAACAGACUACGCGGGCCACAGGGAAUCUCUUUGUACCGUGAUUGUGGUGGUGGUUCCAGGGGUGUAGACAUCUGCCCGCGUCCAUCACAUUGUACACCCGGAAACCAUACCGUUGCUUGUGUAUAAAUGAUCCCUCAAUAAAAUGUGCUGUUUUAUUUUA
Molecule: long non-coding RNA, 1023 nt
Organism: Canis lupus familiaris (dog)
Lineage: Eukaryota; Metazoa; Chordata; Mammalia; Carnivora; Canidae
Exons: 5
Source: RefSeq, a predicted model, not a curated record